AAGCCAAGGGGUCGGGACGCUCUGUGUGAUGGAGUGACCUAGGGGUACAGGGAGUACCUCCUUCACGGACCAGGCUCAGCGAAAG
This is a regulatory RNA element of 85 nucleotides. It matches the Rfam family "ivy-DE RNA". The record is from Rfam.